GGACUACCGGGGUUUCUAAUCCCGUUUGCUCCCCUGGCUUUCGCGCCUCAGCGUCAGAAAGGGUCCAGCAAGCCGCCUUCGCCACCGGAGUUCCUAUGGAUAUCAAUGCAUUUCACCGCUCCACCCAUAGUUCCGCUUGCCCCUACCCUCCUCGAGGCCCUCAGUCUCCGAGGCUCUUCUCCAGUUAGGCUGGAGGAUUUCACCCCGGACUUGAAGGCCCGCCUACGCGCCCUUUAAGCCCAGUGAUUCCGAACAACGUUCGCACGGUUCGUCUUACCGCGGCUGCUGGCAC
RNAcentral lists this ribosomal RNA (292 nucleotides) under uncultured bacterium. Its description in RNAcentral is "partial 16S ribosomal RNA". The record is from RNAcentral. RNAcentral also lists the same sequence under 2 other names.